UUUUUUCAUUGGAAGAGAUGUGACUGGAUUUGCUUUAAUUAGAUGGAUGCAGACGCAACCAUAUUAAGAGAUCUUUAUGUUUGGCUUUGCACUUUUCACAGCUUGCCAUUUGCAAUUGUAAAGGUGCCUGGUAUCAGAGGAUUCACCUGUGGAGACAAAAAUGUGCUGAGGGAAAAAAUUUGGUUCACGCAAGCGACUCUGCUGCAAGGAGGAUGGAGACUGGCAGAAAGCCCCUUGCCCUCCCCAGCUGGGCAGAAAGCAGUUUCAUGGUGGAAAAGCCCCAGAACAAACAGGGCUAUAAACAACACCCAGAAGUGGAAAAGUUGCCUGAAUACUUAGCAGUUGCCUAAUUCAGCUGGUAAAAGUUCUUCCAAGGAGUUCUCCAUGGAAGAGCAAUUAUUUCCUCUCUCUACAUGGCUCCCUAAGCUGGUCUGCAAGAGAAUCUUGGCCAGCUGAAGAGCUGGGAAAGAGCUUUUCACUGAAAAUGAAGCAGCAGUUAAGUGACUUACAGGUGUUGGCUUUUUGUCACUCCUCUGUCUAGCGCACCCCAAGGACAUCUUCCAGAACUGCUAUAAGCAUAUGGGUGUCCCUCGGACAGGGACAUUUUUGAGGGCGACUAAAGGAUGUUUUGUGGGGGUGCCUCUCUGAGCCAUUCUAAAGCUGGGAACCGGAUGCUUAUAUUUUUAUUUUAUUCUUUGCUGUGUUCCUUAGCUAUUUUUUUCAUCCCAACGUCAUAGACCUCAUUUACUUUAUUUUAGUGGCAUGGGCAGGGGAUGGAAAAUCCAUUUUUUUUCUCCUUCAACUUUCUUGCAAGUCACUGGACUUGUGCAUUUAUUUUCUGCGUAGCCUAUGUGCAAUUCUUCUGAUUAGAUCCCAGCUGCCACCUCUCCACUGUACGCGUACCCUGAACCUUAAAGCAAAAUAAAAGCUGCAAUUUCAUAAUUCCA
RNAcentral lists this long non-coding RNA (947 nucleotides) under Anser brachyrhynchus (Pink-footed goose). RNAcentral describes it as "lncRNA (ENSABRG00000013753.1)". Lineage: Eukaryota; Metazoa; Chordata; Aves; Anseriformes; Anatidae. The record is from RNAcentral.